RNAcentral lists this ribosomal RNA (274 nucleotides) under uncultured bacterium. RNAcentral describes it as "partial 16S ribosomal RNA". It matches the Rfam family "Bacterial small subunit ribosomal RNA", at positions 523 to 796 of the family's 1533-position model. The record is from RNAcentral.
AUACGGAGGGUGCAAGCGUUACUCGGAAUCACUGGGCGUAAAGCGCGCGCAGGCGGCUUGAUAAGUUGGAUGUGAAAGCCUACGGCUCAACCGUAGAACUGCAUCCAAAACUGUCAAGCGAGAGUCUGGGCGGGGAAGAUGGAAUUAGUUGUGUAGGGGUAAAAUCCGUAGAGAUAACUAGGAAUACCAAAAGCGAAGGCGAUCUUCUGGAACAGUACUGACGCUGAGGCGCGAAAGCGUGGGGAGCAAACAGGAUUAGAAACCCCAGUAGUCC